ACGGGAGGCAGCAGUGAGGAAUAUUGGUCAAUGGACGGAAGUCUGAACCAGCCAAGUCGCGUGAAGGAUGAAGGUAUUAUGUAUUGUAAACUUCUUUAGCAGUGGAGUAAUAAGGUGGUCGUGACCACUGAUGCGAGUACACUGAGAAUAAGGAUCGGCUAACUCCGUGCCAGCAGCCGCGGUAAUACGGAGGAUCCGAGCGUUAUCCGGAUUUAUUGGGUUUAAAGGGUGCGCAGGCGGCUUUUUAAGUCAGUGGUUAAAUCGUGACGCUCAACGUCAUCACGCCAUUGAUACUGGAGAGCUUGAUUGCGGUCGAGGUUUGCGGAAUUCGUUGUGUAGCGGUGAAAUGCAUAGAUAUGACGAAGAACACCGAUUGCGUAGGCAGCAGACCAGGCCGUAAAUGACGCUCAUGCACGAAAGUGCGGGGAUCGAACAGGAUUAGAUACUCUGGUA
RNAcentral lists this ribosomal RNA (453 nucleotides) under uncultured Porphyromonadaceae bacterium. RNAcentral's name for it is "partial 16S ribosomal RNA". It matches the Rfam family "Bacterial small subunit ribosomal RNA", at positions 341 to 792 of the family's 1533-position model. Lineage: Bacteria; Pseudomonadati; Bacteroidota; Bacteroidia; Bacteroidales; Porphyromonadaceae. The record is from RNAcentral.